Suricata suricatta (meerkat) is the source of this 107-nucleotide small nuclear RNA. NCBI's taxonomy places the organism in Eukaryota, Metazoa, Chordata, Mammalia, Carnivora, Herpestidae. The record is from Ensembl.
GUGCUUGCUUCAGCAGCAUAUAUACUAAAAUGGAACAAUACAGAGAAGAUUAACAUGAUCUCUACAAGAGGGAUGACACAAUGCUAUGAAACCAGAAAUCAACUACA